UGCAAUUACGACAUCUGUCCAAUCCUCCUGAAGUUCCCCCCUGACUACUCAUCACUGGCCAAUCAAAUCUAGAAGAUCUCGGCUGUGACUGCUGAGAUGGAGGUCUAGUGGAUGCCACAGACGUUGAGGUAGUACUUCCUAUAGUAGAUGUCGAAUCUCUGCCUCUCUUUAAAGACUGACCCAGGAACUUAGGCAGAUUCUUUCUCUUUGCAAACUCAGC
RNAcentral lists this long non-coding RNA (220 nucleotides) under Theobroma cacao (cacao). RNAcentral's name for it is "long non-coding RNA (TCAC_LNC000908)". Lineage: Eukaryota; Viridiplantae; Streptophyta; Magnoliopsida; Malvales; Malvaceae. The record is from RNAcentral.